AUCAUUAUCGUAGGGCUUCGGCCCUGUCGAGAUAGAACCCUUGCCUUUUUGAGUACCUCUUGUUUCCUCGGCGGGCUCGCCCGCCGAUGGACCCCCCAAAAAACACUUUGCAGUACCUGUAAUAGUCUGAACAAUAAACAAAAAUUAAAACUUUCAACAACGGAUCUCUUGGUUCUGGCAUCGAUGAAGAACGCAGCGAAAUGCGAUAAGUAGUGUGAAUUGCAGAAUUCAGUGAAUCAUCGAAUCUUUGAACGCACAUUGCGCCCUUUGGUAUUCCUUAGGGCAUGCCUGUUCGAGCGUCAUUUAAACCUUCAAGCUCAGCUUGGUGUUGGGUGACUGUCCCCCUCAAAAGGGACUCGCCUCAAAAUCAUUGGCGGCCGGUACGUUGGCUUCGAGCGCAGCAGAAACGCGAACUCGGAGACUUUGUGUCGGCUCCCAGAAGCCAUCUUUAAAUUUUGACCUCGGAUCAGGUAGGGAUACCCGCUGAACUUAAGCAUAUCAAUAAGCGGAGGAAAAGAAACCAACAGGGAUUGCCCUAGUAACGGCGAGUGAAGCGGCAACAGCUCAAAUUUGAAAUCUGGCUCUUUCAGGGUCCGAGUUGUAAUUUGUAGAGGGUGCUUUGGAGUUGACUGUGGUCUAAGUUCCUUGGAACAGGACGUCGCAGAGGGUGAGAAUCCCGUAUGUGGCCGCCAGUCUUCGCCGUGUAAAGCCCCUUCGACGAGUCGAGUUGUUUGGGAAUGCAGCUCUAAAUGGGAGGUAAAUUUCUUCUAAAGCUAAAUAUUGGCCAGAGACCGAUAGCGCACAAGUAGAGUGAUCGAAAGAUGAAAAGCACUUUGGAAAGAGAGUCAAAAAGCACGUGAAAUUGUUGAAAGGGAAGCGCUUGCAGCCAGACUUGCCUGUAGUUGCUCAUCCGGGCUUUUGCCCGGUGCACUCUUCUACAGGCAGGCCAGCAUCAGUCCUGGCGGUUGGAUAAAUGCCUGCUAAAUGUACCUCUCUUCGGGGAGGACUUAUAGUUUCAGGCGGCAUACAACCAGCCGGGAUUGAGGUCCGCG
RNAcentral lists this ribosomal RNA (1052 nucleotides) under fungal endophyte. Its description in RNAcentral is "eukaryotic LSU rRNA". The stretch from base 457 to 1052 matches the Rfam family "Eukaryotic large subunit ribosomal RNA", at positions 1 to 604 of the family's 3401-position model. Lineage: Eukaryota; Fungi. The record is from RNAcentral.